This 253-nucleotide ribosomal RNA is filed under the name uncultured Dongia sp. Its description in RNAcentral is "partial 16S ribosomal RNA". It matches the Rfam family "Bacterial small subunit ribosomal RNA", at positions 524 to 776 of the family's 1533-position model. The record is from RNAcentral. Lineage: Bacteria; Pseudomonadati; Pseudomonadota; Alphaproteobacteria; Rhodospirillales; Dongiaceae.
UACGAAGGGAGCUAGCGUUGUUCGGAAUUACUGGGCGUAAAGGGCGCGUAGGCGGUUUGACAAGUUGGAUGUGAAAGCCCGGAGCUCAACUCCGGAAUUGCAUUCAAGACUGUUUUACUUGAAUUCGGUAGAGGUUGGUGGAAUUCCCAGUGUAGAGGUGAAAUUCGUAGAGAUUGGGAAGAACACCCGUGGCGAAGGCGGCCAACUGGACCGACAUUGACGCUGAGGCGCGAAAGCGUGGGGAUCAAACAGG